RNAcentral lists this ribosomal RNA (253 nucleotides) under uncultured bacterium. RNAcentral's name for it is "partial 16S ribosomal RNA". It matches the Rfam family "Bacterial small subunit ribosomal RNA", at positions 524 to 776 of the family's 1533-position model. The record is from RNAcentral.
UACGUAGGGGGCAAGCGUUGUCCGGAAUCAUUGGGCGUAAAGCGCGUGUAGGCGGCUUGGUAAGUCCGCUGUGAAAGUCGGGGGCUCAACCCUCGAAUGCCGGUGGAUACUGUCGGGCUAGAGUGCGGGAGAGGCGAGUGGAAUUCCUGGUGUAGCGGUGAAAUGCGCAGAUAUCAGGAGGAACACCAAUUGCGAAGGCAGCUCGCUGGAACGUAACUGACGCUGAGACGCGAAAGCGUGGGGAGCAAACAGG